GUCCUAGGUCUCCUUUAUCACCUGAAAUAUGAAAAAAAAUUAAACAAACAGCUUUAUUUAGCUUAAUUAAUUAAGCGGUAAAUAAAUAUUUUUGUCAAUAAGCGAACAAACUUUAUUUAUUAAUGGUAUGUCAGGAAAGCGAACAAUUAUGUUUGGGAGCAAUUACUCUCCGUGUGGAGAACUCACCUUUAUCUCCAGGUUGUCCUU
This is a non-coding RNA of Biomphalaria pfeifferi, 207 nucleotides long. Lineage: Eukaryota; Metazoa; Mollusca; Gastropoda; Planorbidae. The record is from the annotation of a GenBank genome assembly.